Molecule: unclassified non-coding RNA, 211 nt
Filed under: Hevea brasiliensis (rubber tree)
Lineage: Eukaryota; Viridiplantae; Streptophyta; Magnoliopsida; Malpighiales; Euphorbiaceae
Source: RNAcentral
AGCAAGUGCUUGGUAAGUCCAUUUAGAGUUCUUGAGACUAAAGUUUGCCCUGUUCAUAGUUUGCUGAGCUUCUGAUGUUGAUGGCUGUCUCUUAAUCGUGAAGAUUAAUAUGUUAAAGAAAGUGGCAAUUAGAAACAACCUCAGACACAAAAAUUGUUAUGAUUGCAUUGUGGAUUAAUUUGAAGAUAAUGCAGGUUUCUGAUCUUCACUU